Molecule: transfer RNA, 72 nt
Filed under: Camelus bactrianus (Bactrian camel)
Lineage: Eukaryota; Metazoa; Chordata; Mammalia; Artiodactyla; Camelidae
Also listed under: 2 other names
Rfam family: tRNA
About the family: Transfer RNA (tRNA) molecules are approximately 80 nucleotides in length.
Source: Rfam by way of RNAcentral
GCGGGUAUUGCUCAACGGUAGGGUGUGUGCUUAGCAUGCACGAAGUCCUGGGUUAAAUCCCUAGUACCUCCA